This 706-nucleotide long non-coding RNA is filed under the name Bemisia tabaci. RNAcentral describes it as "lncRNA ENSSSA3NGG008860". The record is from RNAcentral. Lineage: Eukaryota; Metazoa; Arthropoda; Insecta; Hemiptera; Aleyrodidae.
CUGUCUCAGUUAUUUCAUCUAAAAGAGUUUAGACGAAUUUUGAAGAAAACUCGAUUUCGAAAAUUUUGCACUUACGGCUCUCUUCGCUAUCACGGCAGUAAUUGUCUCCUGAUGUCCCCCAUUGCUACUGCCACAUGCAAGCCAAGGCCAACUCCGCUUUUCAACAACUAUUACUAAGUGGACAUCUGCCGGGCCGAUUCUCCAAGUUUUGGUAGUGGCUGCAGGUUAAAACGUUCGAGAAUCCAAACCUGGACAAUAAGUACGGAGCAGUUCGGGAGCCGAAGGCUUGAAGAGUUUGUAAAAGAAGAAUAAAAGAAAUAAUAAAACUAUGCUCAACAAGAGUGGACCCUCCUGCAGAUGGCUUAGGGUAUGAGGAGCUGUCAAAUAUCAUAAAAAGAAAGUUCCGGAAAGGGUUUUCAACCGGAAGGGAAAGAGUCAUUCACUGAAGACGAUGACCUUCCGAUCGAGGCGUUGAAGGCAUAUAGCAGAAAAGAUCUCGAAGAGCAAGACAACCUGGCAGGCGCUGUUGCACACAAUAUUUGCAAGGAGGAUAGGAAGAAAAAGGUACAAGUCCUCUUUUGCAUUUUAAUUGUCUUGCAUUUAUAGAAACGUUUCCAAAAUACCCCUCAGACAAGCAUCUAUAGGUGCAAGCUAUCAUAGACAGCGGAACAUCGCGAUCACUCGAAAAUAGAGCUAAAAUUUCAUG